Molecule: transfer RNA, 657 nt
Filed under: uncultured Prochlorococcus sp.
Lineage: Bacteria; Bacillati; Cyanobacteriota; Cyanophyceae; Synechococcales; Prochlorococcaceae
Description: 16S-23S ribosomal RNA intergenic spacer
Rfam family: tRNA (bases 267-339)
Source: RNAcentral
CAGGGAGACAACAACUGAUCGUGAUGUCUGAGUUAUUGAUACUUAGGCCAUGAUCCUGUCACCUUAGGUCGAUCGGUACCUCAAGUUGAGAAUCAAAGAAAAGCUGAGCAAUCAGCUUGGAGAUUGAUGAUUGAUUUUAGUUCCUAAACUUUGUCUAGGUCACACCCCGCAAGGGUUACUCCUGGGCCAUUAGCUCAGGUGGUUAGAGCGCACCCCUGAUAAGGGUGAGGUCCCUGGUUCAAGUCCAGGAUGGCCCAUUCGGUGUUGGGGGUUUAGCUCAGUUGGUAGAGCGCCUGCUUUGCAAGCAGGAUGUCAGCGGUUCGAGUCCGCUAACCUCCACUGACGAAUCUUCUGACAACGAGCCAAUGGUGAGAACCGUUGUGUGAUGUGAUUUAGAAAUUUAAGUUUUGCUGGGCAGACCCCUAGCUUUUUUAUCAUUCCAGGUCUCAAUCAAUUGAGGGUUAGGUUGAUAGGACGCUGGGCUCACUGUAAUUCGCAAGAAUUGCAGAGAUGUUCAGCAGAACCUUGACAACUGCAUAGGUAAGUCUGGAAAGAAUAAAGCAUCUCAUGGAUGCAUUGUUCUUGUGAACCAGCUAAUGCAAUCUGCGCGAGUAGAGAGCUGAAGUUGAUGAACGAGAAUGAUGUUUUGAAUUCUUG